Sycon ciliatum is the source of this 3003-nucleotide RNA transcript. RefSeq lists it as uncharacterized. The record is from RefSeq and is a predicted model, not a curated record. Lineage: Eukaryota; Metazoa; Porifera; Calcarea; Leucosolenida; Sycettidae. The transcript has 3 exons.
GCGAGCCAAUAUCCAUCCGACGGGGUAUCUUCCAGGGUGAUUCUCUGUCUCCCCUGCUGUUCUGCAUCGGUCUCAACCCAAUCUCAAACGAAUUAGCAAGAAGCGGCAUAGGAUAUCGUUGUGGACCCACGCGUGAUUCCCUGUUGUCGCAUCUAUGGUACAUGGAUGACGUCAAGCUAUUUGCCGCUAGCAGUACUGGACUGGACUCCUUGAUCAACAUUGUGGAGUGCGUUGGUGGGGCGGUUGGCAUGCAACUAUCUCCCACUAAGUGCUCGAAGAUUGUCUGCCCGGCCGCUAAGCCAACCCAGGAUGCAGAGCCUUCGUCAACCUUGCUAACAGAGUCGAUCAUUCAUCCUCUGCAAGAUGGCGCGGCGUACCUCUACCUUGGCCUGCGGGAAUUCCUGGGAAUCGAGGCUGGUGAAGUUAAACAAUCUGCCAUCGCUGAGUUCCGUCGCCGUCUUCGCUUGAUCACGGAUGCUUCACUAUGUGCACCAAACCUCAUCAGAGCAAUCAACACCUACGUUCUGCCAGUGGUGUCUUAUGGCCUUGGCACAGUCGUUCCUUGGACCGCGGAUGAGCUCCGCUCGCUGGACAGGACAGUGAGGAAGGCUCUGACUGCUAGCAGGGCCCACCACCCACGUGCCUCAAUCCGUCGCCUAUAUCUACCGCGGAGCGAGGGAGGUCGUGGCCUAGUAUGCAUCGUAGAUCUCCAUGACCGUACUUGCAUCCGGCUCGCUCAGUACCUGAAGGAUCGGGAAGAUGUCCCUGCCCUGGCCGCUGUUCUCCAGCACCAUGAAUCACGUCCCUCUAGAAAAUCAAUACCAAAGCUGGCAAAUACUGUCCUGCAGCGCCUUCGCCUGACGAGCCUGGACACCGCUAACAAAGAGACUGUUAAACAGGCCCUCAAUGACAACCGCCGCCGUGAACUUCGAGCGAUGCCUCUUCAUGGUCGCUAUUGGGCGCGUGUUGAUGGUAUCCUGGACAUGCAGCUCUCGUUUUCCUGUUUCAGAUCCCAGACAAUGCGUCCUGAAACGGAAGGCUUUCUCAUUGCUUGCCAGGAUCAGGUGAUUGCCACGAGAAACAAUAUGCGCCAUAUCCACAAGAGGCAUGAUGUCGUGGACCUCUGUCGUGUAUGUGGUGCACCCGGAGAAAAUAUGGACCACAUCAUCGCCUGCUGUCCAGCCCUGGCACGGACUGCAUACAUUGCCCGGCAUAACUUUGUGGUCCAGGCCCUGCAUCGUGCGCUGUGUAAGCAGCAUGGGUUACCCAGCAGUAAGCAGCUGGUGCAGGUCACAAGUUCUGCCAGUUGCAAGCUGAUGUGGGAGAUUUCCAUUCCCACAGAUCGAGUAAUAAAAGCGAACAGACCAGACCUGGUGCUGGUUCUGGAUGAUCGGGCACUGCUCUUGGACGUCAGUGUCCCAUUGGACCACAGGGUCAAUGAGAAGGUGCAGGAGAAGAUCAGCAAAUACCUGCCCUUGGCAGCAGAGCUGAGGAGGAUCUGGAACAAAAAGAUAACUAUUGUUCCAGUUAUCAUUGGUGCUCUGGGUGGUGUGUCAGGAACGAGCCGCAGCCACAUCUUAAGCCUUGGGCUCCACGCGUCCACGAGUCUCUUGACCAACAGCUCUCUGACAUGACAGCAUGGGAGAGUGAGGUCUUCACAGAACUUCGGCCUGACCUGGUUUCCACGCUAACUCCAGGUGAUAUGCGUCGCCAGUGUGAGGCUAAGAGGUUGAUUACGCGUGCACAGCGUCAGCUAUUUGCAUUACACACUGGCCGUGCAGUGCAGAAUGAGGAAUUGCUCGAUGCACUAAGCACUGGUGAUGACGAAUCCUUCCACACCUUCCUUAAAUGCAUCCGUAAAGUCGAGCCAGAAGCCAGCGCGAGAAGGUUAUUGGCCAAGCUGGAACCCGUCGACAAGUUCCAGCAGCCCGGCAGUACUGCUGAGGCCGCAUUAGCGUCUGCAGGAGCAUCUACUGCUGAUCCAGUGGGAGUCCCGUAGAGAACGACGGCAUUGGCGAGGCGAUGAAAUGUGCAAGAGCCCACCUUUCGUUGAGAUAGAAGGCUUCUGUACAGCACAGGUGUUGUAUGAACUGGUGCCAAGCUACCCGACCAAGAGGCUGUGUCAAGGACUGUUUGUCGGCUGGUUCGACCUUUCCAUUGGUCAUUUUUAUCAUACAUGUUAUUGUAAAGCGUAUGUCUACUGGUUUGUCUCUGCUAGCAUGCUAUGUCUCUGCAUGUGAAGGUGUUGGCAUGUAGCAGUAUUGCCUGGCAGUCACACUGUGCAUGUCCGGCUCACACAGAUGCAUAAUGCCGUUUUUUUUUUUUCAUUUUUUCCUUCUCUCUUUUUACGAUUUUUCGCCUUCUUUUUUUGUAUCGCAGAUGCUCCUGCUGCUGCUGCUGCUUAUAAUGAUGAUGAUGAUGCAUGUCUAGUGGAUUGUAGGUGUUGUCUAGUGCAAUGGAAUGCAUACAUGUAUGUUCUAAUGCUGGCACUGGCUUUUAAGUCGCCGCACACGCUUAGGUUUACAUUGCAGAUAAACAAAGGCUAGUGCAUUCACAAUUUUCUUUGCUUUGACUUUUCCCAUUGUUACACAAAUAAACAUUAGACUCGCAAGUCUCGCUUGGACUUGUACUGCCACGAGCCUCCUCUCGAUUUGGUUAUUUCUCUCUUUCUUAUUUAGCCGCUGACCGCUGGAACUCAGCUCCGGCAUCGGUCCGCCUUGCUGCUUCACCAAGUUUUCUUUCGACGCGUUUGUUGUGCAGUGAAGCCGAGACCCUAGGUCGGCGGAGCACAUCAGACCCCGUCACCACGUCCACGAUUCAUGCCUGCGAUGCUGCACCGCUGCUUUGCAUGUCAUGAUUGGAAGCUGUGGCCUUAGUAAAAAAAAAAGUCAAUUUCGUAUCGCAAUCCUAGAUUGGCUAGGGUGCCCCGUAAGGAGACCAUAGGUCUGUACUGUGGGGACUGCCCUAGAGAAGUAUGAAUAAAUACUACUACUAUGUACUGUA